GACAGAGGUGCCAAGCGUUAGGCGGAAUCACUGGGCUUAAAGCGUGUGUAGGUGGAGGCCUAAGUACCUUGUGAAAUCCCACGGCUCAACCGUGGAACUGCUCGGUAUACUGGGUCUCUUGAGCCACUUAGGGGCUACCGGAACAAAUGGUGGAGCGGUGAAAUGCGUAGAUAUCAUUUGGAACGCCAAUGGUGAAAACAGGUAGCUGGGAGUGUGCUGACACUGAGACACGAAAGCCAGGGGAGCGAACGGG
RNAcentral lists this ribosomal RNA (253 nucleotides) under uncultured bacterium. Its description in RNAcentral is "partial 16S ribosomal RNA". It matches the Rfam family "Bacterial small subunit ribosomal RNA", at positions 524 to 776 of the family's 1533-position model. The record is from RNAcentral.